RNAcentral lists this ribosomal RNA (464 nucleotides) under uncultured bacterium. Its description in RNAcentral is "partial 16S ribosomal RNA". It matches the Rfam family "Bacterial small subunit ribosomal RNA", at positions 339 to 795 of the family's 1533-position model. The record is from RNAcentral.
CUACGGGUCGCACCAGUGGGGAAUAUUGCACAAUGGGCGCAAGCCUGAUGCAGCCAUGCCGCGUGUAUGAAGAAGGCCUUCGGGUUGUAAAGUACUUUCAGCGGGGAGGAAGGGAGUAAAGUUAAUACCUUUGCUCAUUGACGUUACCCGCAGAAGAAGCACCGGCUAAUCCGUGCGCAGCAGCCGCGGUAAUACGGAGGGUGCAAGCGUUAAUCGGAAUUACUGGGCGUAAAGCGCACGCAGGCGGUUUGUUAAGUCAGAUGUGAAAUCCCCGGGCUCAACCUGGGAACUGCAUCUGAUACUGGCAAGCUCGAGUCUCGUAGAGGGGGGUAGAAUUCCAGGUGUAGCGGUGAAAUGCGUAGAGAUCUGGAGGAAUACCGGUGGCGAAGGCGGCCCCCUGGACGAAGACUGACGCUCAGGUGCGAAAGCGUGGGGAGCAAACAGGAUUAGAUACCCCCGUAGUC